Molecule: non-coding RNA, 423 nt
Organism: Pelobates cultripes (western spadefoot toad)
Lineage: Eukaryota; Metazoa; Chordata; Amphibia; Anura; Pelobatidae
Source: the annotation of a GenBank genome assembly
CCUGACAGGAGAGAGGUGCUGAAGGUAUUCCAUGACAAUGUGACCGCUGGGCAUUCGGGUAUUAAUAUAACGGUGUCCGCCAUUUCCAGGUCAUUUUGGUGGGAGUCACUCAGGAGGGAUAUUAAAGAUUAGGUAGAAGCCUGCUCUAUCUGUGUAGUUUAAAAGGUUCCUCAUAAUCUUCCGUGUGGAUUGUUACAGCCACUUCCUAUACCCAGUAUCCCAUGGUCUCAUUUAUCGAUGGAUUUCAUUGUUGAACUGCCUAGUUCCAAUGGGUAUACUACCAUCCUCAUGGUAGUUGACCGUUUUUCCAAAAUGGCAUACUUUACUCCACUUAAAAAAUUGCCAUCGUCUCAGGACCUGGUGCACAUAUUUAUAUGCGAUAUUGUCAGGCUACAUGGUAUUAAUCAAAAUACUGUGCCUGAC